RNAcentral lists this long non-coding RNA (1435 nucleotides) under Cyanistes caeruleus (blue tit). RNAcentral's name for it is "lncRNA (ENSCCEG00000009769.1)". The record is from RNAcentral. Lineage: Eukaryota; Metazoa; Chordata; Aves; Passeriformes; Paridae.
AAGUGUUCCUUUAGUGUUCCUUUUGUGCUCACUACUGACAUCCCUUGAAUAACAUUCAAUGGCAUUACAUUAAAAAAAAAAAAAACUGAUAACAUAAUUCCAGUUACAAGUCAUUUUUACAGUGAGACUGAGACUUUUUGGAAGAAACAUCCAAUGCUUGUGCUAGGAGAAUGGCUGGACAUGAAAUUCACACAAACUCAUUAACAGCAUCAGUAGAAGUGAAAGAAAGACCCUACUAUCUUCAGUAACUGAAUUUUAAUAACAGGUAUUUUUAAGUAGGCACUCAAGUGUAAGACAACCACAAAAUAAAAGACAUAGUGAUAUAAAAGAUCAUAGUGAUAGAAAUCUGAAAGCCAAGUUUUCUGUGGCUUUGUUUUUAGGGCAGUAAUAGUCAUGCUACCUAUGGACAUUUCAUAUCUCAAAAAAACCUGAUGUUAUAUCCACUGAUUCUGACAAUAUACAAAAAUACCCCGCAAAAAAUUGAAGAGCUUACACUACUUAUUAUUAAUAUAUUGGUACUGUUCUCUUACAUGAAAUAAAUACUUUGUAUGAGCUGUGAACAGCUACAGCUUUAUAAUUACUGCUUAGCCUACAUUUUAACAGUUGAAAUUACAUUGAAAUACAUUUUCAAUCACAUCUGAUAUAUUUUAAAAGCUAUUUGAAAUAUUAUAUAUAAAUUGGCAGAACAAUUACAUUUAUUUAUUCAAUUUUACAAAUUUAUUCAGGAAUUCAUCCCUAGAGGUCUGAAAAUUGUAACUAAUUUGCUAACAUUUCCAAGCUCUCAUGCAUAUAUUUUGGAUGAGAAUAAUUCCAUUGAAGUUUAACAGCUUGAUUCUUUCUACAUAGUAUUCUUCAUUAUAAACCAAUUAAUUUGGGAUGGUACAGAACAGAUAAAAUUGAUCCCAAAUAAAAAUAAUUCUAAUACCCUUUUCAAUCCACUCUUUAGCCACAGACUCUUUUCUCUUUUUUUUUUUUUUUUUUUAAUUUUUAUUUCUUAUUUUUUUUGUAGAGUACCUAUGUCUGACAGUGGUUCUUUAGAAUUUCCUCUAGAGACUCAGCCUGGAGACAAGACCACCAGAAGGAUGACAAUGCCUUUUGGGAAAACAAAACCAGUAGACAUUGGUAUUUUCUUGAACAGUCAUCUUCUUAAUGUUGAUAGCAAUUUAAAUCAAGGCUUUCCAGGUGCAACGGCAAGAAGUUAGCAUUUCUUCAAGCUCAUGACUGGGCAUCUUUCUGAAAAAGGAAAACCACAAGCAUGUGAUGGAAAUACAGCCAUACCUUGCUAAAUAAUGUGAAGCAUGGCAGUCAUAGCUGUUCAGUUCUUCCUGCUCAGCAUUGCAACAGUAGGAAAAACCUGAUGAGGAGAGAAGCUGCCACGUGGUGAAUUAUCUGUUCUGUGAAAUUCUGAAAUAAAUGAAUUACACUUUUCCUAGCA